RNAcentral lists this long non-coding RNA (617 nucleotides) under Equus asinus (donkey). Its description in RNAcentral is "lncRNA (ENSEASG00005035604.1, ENSEASG00020006923.1)". The record is from RNAcentral. Lineage: Eukaryota; Metazoa; Chordata; Mammalia; Perissodactyla; Equidae.
GAAAGGGCCCACGGGGGCAUUAAACAAACAAAACCCCGAAGUCCAGAUCCUCAUGAAAUCCAAGUUGUAGGGGGUGGAGACAAAAAGUAAACAACAAACAAGUCCCUGUCAGAUGGUAGAUCACCUCAGACAGCACCUGUUCACUACACUUGAAAUGCAGCCGAACCCUCCAGCUCCUUUCAGCCUGGUCACCCAACAGCUGUCACUCAAACAAUGCCUCUCAGCCACCCCAGGCCUGAUUUGGAUUUGACCUACUGACCUCGAGAUACAGAGUUGUGAAGGUGGGUGCUUUGGGGUUCUCAGCUCCCUUCUCCCUGACAAAAAGGAGAGAGGAUCAAGUUGAUGUGAGUAUUUGAGUGACUGUAUGUGUAUGUGAAGAUAGAGGACCACUGUGAUUUGUCCCCAAAGUCUGAGAAGGGUGUUAAGAAGAAUCAGGGAUGAUGUAGUCUGGCUUUAUUACUGAGGUCUCUUUCAACUGCAGGUGGCAGAAAUUAAACAGGUAACAGCUUUUUUUUUUUUUUUUUUGUAAAGUCUUCGAUAAUAUCCAUAUGAAAAACCAGGUUAUGAAGUUUCCGGUAUAAACGGAUUCAGGGGUCCAAACAACAUCAUGAAGUCUG